Long non-coding RNA from Homo sapiens (human), 532 nucleotides. RefSeq lists it as uncharacterized. The record is from RefSeq and is a predicted model, not a curated record. The transcript is spliced from 2 exons. NCBI's taxonomy places the organism in Eukaryota, Metazoa, Chordata, Mammalia, Primates, Hominidae.
UGAGCUAAUGGGUGGGGAGCACUUUGUAACCUGGAAACGUUGUGCAUCAGUGAAGUGUCCAUGAGGGUCCCUUUUCCCCCAAGGUUUGGGUCUACUUCUCUCUUCUCCAGAGCUAACCCAAAAGCCAGAGCUCCACAUGCCAGAGAUUCUUUUGGCUGAGAAGACUGUGACCUUGAACUGUACCCUCAAAGGCACCUGCAAAGAAACCAAAGCCCUCUUCCACUCCCGGAAGAACCCAGCCAUCUCCAGCAGCUCCUCCUCGGUGCUGCACUUCACCCUGAGGCCUGAGGACCAUGGCAACACCCUUGGAUGUCACUUGAACUUAUCCCUAGCCAACGUGACCAGAAGUAGCUUGGUCAAGCUCCAAGUGGUCUAUAAGAAAUCAGUUUCCAGUGUGUUCGUGAAAGGAUUAAUCCAGGGCAUUGUAUAUGGAGCCAUUGCAUUCUCAUUGCUCUUCUUCUGCCUCAUCCUCUUGUCGUGAGUAUCAAAGUUCAAAUUCAUCAGCAGCCUUUCCCAAAGCCUACUACCUUUA